UGCAUAGCCAAAUCUAGAAAAACUAAAGGGGACCUUCGUAUCUCCAAUGCCUAGAGGUGCUCUCCCUAAGACUGGUGAAGAUAAGCAAACACAGUAGGAUAUGAGGCUAUUAGAUAGUCUUUAGCUAGAGCCACAAUGAACCUAAGGUGGGCUCUGACCAUUUAGACCAACGAAGAGCAUAGCAGGUAUCUACAGAUCCAGAUUAAAAAGAAGAUAACGUAUUCUCGAUGUGACAUCACCCUAAUAUGAUUAUGAAAGGUGUGUACAUACAAAUUGUAGUUGAUGAGUUGUUGGAGGUAGGCUCAAAUAAUCCUUGGGAUAUCAGCUAGGGCGUUGGCAUUGAAUAGUUUGCUAGUCAAUCUAAGGUUAAAAAGGAUAUCCAAGUUUAGCGAUUCAAGCUGGUCAUGCCAUGAUUCAGAUAGAAACUGUUGGUUGCUGGAGACCAAAAGCACAAGGCACCAAGAAGCAAAUAUUGGUUAGCUGGUGGAAAAUGGGAAAAGGCUAAAAUAUUUGAAAGAACAUCCUUUUCCCAAACAACUAGCCUUUGUUAGAAAACACAGUGGGAUUACCCUUCCAAAGGUCACAUCAGAUGGACCAUGGCCAAAAAUAUUUGAAAGAACAUCCUUUUCCCAAACAAGUAGCCUUUGUUAGAAAACACGGUUGGACUACCAUUCCAAAGGCCACAUC
This 687-nucleotide long non-coding RNA is filed under the name Elaeis guineensis (African oil palm). Its description in RNAcentral is "long non-coding RNA (EGUI_LNC053713)". The record is from RNAcentral. Lineage: Eukaryota; Viridiplantae; Streptophyta; Magnoliopsida; Arecales; Arecaceae.